UACGUAGGGCGCAAGCGUUUGUCCGGAAUUAUUGGGCGUAAAGAGCUCGUAGGCGGCUUGUUGCGUCGGUUGUGAAAGCCCGGGGCUUAACCCCCGGGUCUGCAGUCGAUACGGGCAGGCUAGAGUGUGGUAGGGGAGAUCGGAAUUCCUGGUGUAGCGGUGAAAUGCGCAGAUAUCAGGAGGAACACCGGUGGCGAAGGCGGGUCUCUGGGCCGAUACUGACGCUGAGGAGCGAAAGCGUGGGGAGCGAACAGG
RNAcentral lists this ribosomal RNA (255 nucleotides) under uncultured bacterium. RNAcentral describes it as "partial 16S ribosomal RNA". It matches the Rfam family "Bacterial small subunit ribosomal RNA", at positions 524 to 776 of the family's 1533-position model. The record is from RNAcentral.